GAUGAACGCUGGCGGCGUGCCUAAUACAUGCAAGUCGAACGCAGUGGGGACGGGUGAGUAACACGUGGGUAACCUCCCAUCAGAGGGGACAACAGUUUGAAACAGGUGCUAAACCGAUACUGAUGGAUGGACCCUCGGUGCAUUAGCUAGUGGGUGAGGUAACGGCCCACCAAGGCCACGAUGCAUAGCCGACCUGAGAGGGUGAUCGGCCACACUGGGACUGAGACACGGCCCAGACUCCUACGGGAGGCAGCAGUAGGGAAUCUUCGGCAAUGGACGAAAGUCUGACCGAGCAACGCCGCGUGAGUGAAGAAGGUUUUCGGAUCGUAAAACUCUGUUGUUAGAGAAGCGGUAUCUAACCAGAAAGCCACGGCUAACUACGUGCCAGCAGCCGCGGUAAUUC
Molecule: ribosomal RNA, 403 nt
Filed under: uncultured bacterium
Lineage: Bacteria
Description: partial 16S ribosomal RNA
Rfam family: Bacterial small subunit ribosomal RNA
Source: RNAcentral